AGCCGCGGUAACACCGGCGGCCCGAGUGGUGAUCGUGAUUAUUGGGUCUAAAGGGUCCGUAGCCGGUUGGUCAGUCCUCCGGGAAAUCUGAUAGCUCAACUAUUAGGCUUUCGGGGGAUACUGCCAGACUUGGAACCGGGAGAGGUAAGAGGUACUACAGGGGUAGGAGUGAAAUCUUGUAAUCCCUGUGGGACCACCUGUGGCGAAGGCGUCUUACCAGAAUGGGUUCGACGGUGAGGGACGAAAGCUGGGGGCACGAACCGGAUUAGAUACCCGGGUAGUCCCAGCCGUAAACGAUGCUCGCUAGGUGUCAGGCAUGGCGCGACCGUGCUGGUGCCGCAGGGAAGCCGUGAAGCGAGCCACCUGGGAAGUACGGCCGCAAGGCUGAAACUUAAAGGAAUUGGCGGGGGAGCACAACAACGGGUGGAGCCUGCGGUUUAAUUGGACUCAACGCCGGACAACUCACCGGGGGCGACAGCAAUAUGUAGGCCAAGCUGAAGACUUUGCCUGAAUCGCUGAGGGGAGGUGCAUGG
Molecule: ribosomal RNA, 533 nt
Filed under: uncultured archaeon
Lineage: Archaea
Description: bacterial SSU rRNA
Rfam family: Archaeal small subunit ribosomal RNA
Source: RNAcentral